CUAUAUUCUCAGCGACAUUUUUGACUAAAUAUUUACACUGAGUUGAAUUUUGACAUCAAACAAACAACACAUACAAAAAUAAAAAAACAUCAAGUGGCAUGCCUAUGCCGCCUUCACAGCAAGCUGCUGGAUCAAUCGAAUUGGAUGUAAUCGGAUCGAUGUGAGCAAGCUUAGCCCAUGCCGGCUUCACAACAAGCUGCUGGAUCAAUCGAUCUUUGAGCUAGCUUUCAACAUACAUCUGUCUCCUCUGGAUGAAUCGAUUCAGUGCCUUCACCAACAGGCGAGGGACUCCCACCGACGGCGCCAGGUACGAGACGGGAUGAUGUCGAGCAUGGGCAUCGGGAGGAAGGUCAACAGUCCCGUCGCCGGCUUGCUAGCCUUCGAGCCUGACGACCCCGAGGAUCCGCACAAGGCUUGACACCAGAUCCACGCCGGGAUGGCCGAUGCGUUGCUUGCCUCCCACUCAGUUGCUCGCCUCCUCCUGCCAUUCGUGUCCUCUACCGCUGCUAGCUCGCCCCACCGCUCCCAUGCUCCUAGACCGCCGCCACUGCUCCGCUCCCAUGGCAGCAGCGCAGACGCAGAUCGAGAAAGGGGAGAGCGGCUGUGGAGAGUAUCUUCCUCAUAUGGCAGCUCGCCGCUCACCCGCCCCGCUGGUAGCUCGCCGUCGCCCCACUGGGAUGCGAGAGAGAGGCCUCGCCGGAGAGGGAGAGAGGUGGGAGUGCUGGGAGAGAGACGAGGGAGUUGCGGGCUGAGCCGUUCCGCGUGGUUCCACCGAAUCGGAGGGCCCCGUGCCGCAUAUUGAGGGAAUAUGACGCUCCAGAGAAUCA
This 827-nucleotide ribosomal RNA is filed under the name Triticum aestivum (bread wheat). RNAcentral's name for it is "partial small subunit ribosomal RNA". Lineage: Eukaryota; Viridiplantae; Streptophyta; Magnoliopsida; Poales; Poaceae. The record is from RNAcentral.